RNAcentral lists this ribosomal RNA (708 nucleotides) under uncultured bacterium. RNAcentral's name for it is "bacterial SSU rRNA". It matches the Rfam family "Bacterial small subunit ribosomal RNA", at positions 54 to 748 of the family's 1533-position model. The record is from RNAcentral.
CAUGCAAGUCGAACGGCAGCACAGCAGUAGCAAUACUGUGGGUGGCGAGUGGUGGACGGGUGAGGAAUACAUCGGAAUCUACCUUGUCGUGGGGGAUAACGUAGGGAAACUUACGCUAAUACCGCAUACGACCUUCGGGUGAAAGUGGGGGACCGCAAGGCCUCACGCGAUUAGAUGAGCCGAUGUCGGAUUAGCUAGUUGGCGGGGUAAUGGCCCACCAAGGCGACGAUCCGUAGCUGGUCUGAGAGGAUGAUCAGCCACACUGGAACUGAGACACGGUCCAGACUCCUACGGGAGGCAGCAGUGGGGAAUAUUGGACAAUGGGCGCAAGCCUGAUCCAGCCAUACCGCGUGGGUGAAGAAGGCCUUCGGGUUGUAAAGCCCUUUUGUUGGGAAAGAAAUCCUAUCGAUUAAUACUCGGUGGGGAUGACGGUACCCAAAGAAUAAGCACCGGCUAACUUCGUGCCAGCAGCCGCGGUAAUACGAAGGGUGCAAGCGUUACUCGGAAUUACUGGGCGUAAAGCGUGCGUAGGUGGUUGUUUAAGUCUGUUGUGAAAGCCCUGGGCUCAACCUGGGAAUUGCAGUGGAUACUGGGCGACUAGAGUGUGGUAGAGGAUAGUGGAAUUUUCCGGUGUAGCAGUGAAAUGCGUAGAGAUCGGAAAGGAACAUCUGUGGCGAAGGCGACUAUCUGGGCCNAACACUGACACUG